RNAcentral lists this long non-coding RNA (1863 nucleotides) under Oncorhynchus mykiss (rainbow trout). Its description in RNAcentral is "lncRNA (ENSOMYG00000059513.1)". Lineage: Eukaryota; Metazoa; Chordata; Actinopteri; Salmoniformes; Salmonidae. The record is from RNAcentral.
UGCAUAAACACUGAAUAUCCCUCUCUUCAUCCAUCGGUCCUCCAUCCCCAUCAUCCCUCUAUCCUCCCUCCCCAUCGUUCCUCUCUUCAUUCCUCUAUCCUCCCUCCCCAUUAUUCCUCUCUUCAUCCCUCUAUUCUCCCUCCCCAUCAUUCCUCUCUUCAUUCCUCUAUCCUCCCUCCCGAUCAUUCCUCUAUCCUCCCUCCCCAUCAUUCCUCUAUCCUCCCAACCCAUCAUUCCUCUAUCCUCCCUCCCCAUCAUUCCUCUGUCCUCCCUCCCCAUCAUUCCUCUCUACAUCCCUCUGUCCUCCCUCCCCAUCAUUCCUCUCUUCAUCCCUCUAUCCUCCCUCCCCAUCAUUCCUCUAUCCUCCCUCCCCAUCAUUCCUCUAUCCUCCCUACCCAUCAUUCCUCUGUCCUCCCUCCCCAUCAUUCCUCUGUCCUCCCUCCCCAUCAUUCCUCUCUACAUCCCUCUAUCCUCCCUCCCCAUCAUUCCUCUAUCCUCCCUCCCCAUCAUGCCUCUAUCCUCCCUCCCCAUCAUUCCUCUAUCCACCCUCCCCAUCAUUCCUCUCUUCAUCCCUCUGUCCUCCCUCCCCAUAAUUCCUCUCCUCAUUCCUCUAUCCUCCCUCCCCAUCAUUCCUCUCUUCAACCCUCUGUCCUCCCUCCCCAUCAUUCCUCUCUUCCUCCCUCUGUCCUCCCUCCCCAUCAUCCCUCUGUCCUCCCUCCCCAUCAUUCCUCUCUUCCUCCCUCUGUCCUCCCUCCCCAUCAUUCCUCUCUUCAACCCUCUGUCCUCCCUCCCCAUCAUUCCUCUCUUCCUCCCUCUGUCCUCCCUCCCAUCAUCCCUCUGUCCUCCCUCCAUCAUUCCUCUGUCCUCCCUCCCCAUCAUUCCUCUGUCCUCCCUCCCCAUCAUCACUCUGUCCUCCCUCCCCAUCAUCCCUCUAUCCUCCCUCUGUCCUCCCUCCCCAUCAUCCCUCUGUCCUCCCUCCCCAUCAUUCCUCUCUUCCUCCCUCUGUCCUCCCUCCCCAUCAUCCCUCUGUCCUCCCUCCCCAUCAUUCCUCUUUUCCUCCCUCUGACCUCCCUCCCCAUCAUCCCUCUGUCCUCCCUCGCCAUCAUUCCUCUGUCCUCCCUCCCCACCAUCCCUCUGUCCUCCCUCCCCAUCAUUCCUCUCUUCCUCCCUCCCCAUCAUUCCUCUGUCCUCCCUCCCCACCAUCCCUCUGUCCUCCCUCCCCAUCAUUCCUCUCUUCCUCCCUCUAUCCUCCCUCCCCAUCAUCCCUCUAUCCUCCCUCCCCAGCAUUCCUCUCUUCAUCCCUCUGUCCUCCCUCCCCAUCAUUCUUCUCUUCCUCCCUCUAUCUUCCCUCCCCAUCAUCCCUCUAUCCUCCCUCCAUCCUCCCUCUAUCCUCCCUCCCCAUCAUUCCUCUCUUCCUCCCUCUAUUCUCCCUCCCCAUCAUCCCUCUGUCCUCCCUCCCCAUCAUCCCUCUAUCCUCCCUCCCCAUCAUUCCUCUGUCCUCCUUCUAUCCUCCCUCCCCAUCAUUCCUCUGUCCUCCAUCCCCAUCAUCCCUCUAUCCUCCCUCCCCAUCAUUCCUCGCUUCAUCCCUCUGUCCUCCCUCCCCAUCAUUCCUCUCUUCCUCCCUCUAUCCUCCCUCCCCAUCAUCCCUCUAUCCUCCCUCCCCAUCAUCCCUCUGUCCUCCCUCCCCAUCAUCCCUCUGUCCUCCCUCCCCAUCAUCCCUCUGUCCUCCCUCCCCAUCAUCCCUCUGUCCUCCCUCCCCAUCAUCCCUCUGUCCUCCCUCCCCAUCAUCCCUCUGUCCUCCCUCCCCAUCAUCCCUCUGUCCUCCCUCCCCAUCAAUCCCUCUAUCCUCCCUCCCCAUCAUAA